This 439-nucleotide ribosomal RNA is filed under the name uncultured bacterium. Its description in RNAcentral is "partial 16S ribosomal RNA". It matches the Rfam family "Bacterial small subunit ribosomal RNA", at positions 339 to 795 of the family's 1533-position model. The record is from RNAcentral.
CUACGGGUCGCAGCAGUGAGGAAUAUUGCACAAUGGGGGGAACCCUGAUGCAGCAACGCCGCGUGGAGGAUGACGCAUUUCGGUGUGUAAACUCCUUUUAUAUGUCAAGAAAAUGACGGUAGCAUACGAAUAAGCACCGGCUAACUCCGUGCCAGCAGCCGCGGUAAUACGGAGGGUGCAAGCGUUACUCGGAAUCACUGGACGUAAAGGACGCGUAGGCGGGUUGGAAAGUCAGGUGUGAAAUCCUACAGCUUAACUGUAGAACUGCACUUGAAACUUCUAAUCUAGAGUAUGGGAGGGGGAAAUGGAAUUAGUGGUGUAGGGGUAAAAUCCGUAGAUAUCACUAGGAAUACCUAAAGCGAAGGCGAUCUCCUGGAACAUUACUGACGCUAAGGCGUGAAAGCGUGGGGAGCAAACAGGAUUAGAUACCCCGGUAGUC